This is a long non-coding RNA of Bicyclus anynana (squinting bush brown), 828 nucleotides long. RefSeq lists it as uncharacterized. The transcript has 2 exons. The record is from RefSeq and is a predicted model, not a curated record. Lineage: Eukaryota; Metazoa; Arthropoda; Insecta; Lepidoptera; Nymphalidae.
CUCCCAACCGUAGAAUAAAAAAUGAGAAUCCUCCAUCCUUUACUAACAAAAGAGAGAGAUAUCUCCAUCCUUCUCCUUGUUAUGGGCUGUAGUAGGUGGUGGCCAUGCCUAUCUCUUUCACCUGUACACUUAAAUAAACUUGCACACUGUUACAAUUCUAAGUAUCGAAGAACUGAUGUGAUUGGUCAAAUUUACACAAAGAAAAAUAAUAGCUUUUAUGAAUGAAAGAGAAAUGUGUUUAUACCACGUGUGUAAGAUUGUUUUGAAUUUGUUGCCUCGUGCCUGCGCCGCCAUUGUAAUUUUACUGCGAAAGAUUGGUUUUGACUUUUCAAUAAUUGAAAUCAUUGAAAUUCGCAUGAGCGCCGCUGGAAUUACUAAUAAUAAGGAUAAAUCUUUCUUGUUAAUUAAUUAUCUUCACUAUUUAAAUAAAUUUUGAUUAAUAAAAAGAUAUACAAUGUAGUUCGAUUCGUGCUUGGUUAUUGAUAAAAGUAAUUUUGUUUUAAAUUAAAAAUGAGGCAAUGUGUUAUUCCCAAGUGUAAAACGCGAUCAAAUUACGUGCUGUACCUUUUACUGAUAGUGAUAACACUAGAUGGGAGGCAUGGUUCAUCAAUUGUCCAAUAUUACGGAAAUAUACUCGUAGGCAGUUAGAAAACGUUAAAAUUUGUGAAAACCACUUUCUACCCAGAAAAAAGACCUACUUAUUGGUAAUCAACGUGCACAGUGGUCCAUCAUUGAGGAGCUCUAUGCUACAGAUGGUGAAGCCGGACGUGCAAGAACCACAACCCUGACGGAUAAACACAUUAGACCAACUUCUUAUGACAAGAUGAA